AACAAUGCAAUAAUAAUAUAAUGUAACAUAACAAUAGUAAUAAGGAUAUAAUAUUAGUAAAAAAUGAUAUAUAUAAAAAAAUGAAAAGAAGGACUGAAUUGAAUUUUAAACAAAAAUGGGGGCUGAUUUAAAAAAAAUUAGAAAGGGAUCCAUUUGAGUGCGCGCGUAACAGUGGAGGACCAAAAGGGAAAUUGUCCCCUUCCUCCAAAACGCUGCGCAGCAUGGGACAGAAUUGAAACAAAAUAAGAUAUGCGGCCCAAUUUCUGAAAUAAGUAAAAAGGAUUUAAUUGAAAAGCGUUGCAAAAAGGGAGGGUCCAAAUGCGUAAUUUCCCCUUUAGGCCAGAUUUGCGUAGGUCAUACCACCUAAACGGCGCCGUUUUACUUAUAGAAUUAAUACCCAAAAUUUCCUUUCAAAAGAACAUCACUGCUUCAUUCUUUUUUGUUUUAAAACAAUAAACAGAGGGGGGGGGGGAAAUUUUUGCUAAGGUUUUCAACCCCCCAGCCCUUCAUGCCGCCGCCGCCGCUCAAGCCAUCCACGGCUUCCGACGACGCCCCAGCCUCCGAUUGCGACGGAGAGGGGUCACCGCAACGGCACGUCGACUCUGGCGAUUAGGUGAGUUUUCCUUCUCCUUUUUUGAUUUUUGUUUACAAAAAAAAACAAUAAUAAUAGUAGAAAGUAUACAAAAAAAAGAAACCCGAUUCGCCUUUGCAUUUUAGAAAUUUCUGUGUUUUUUAUUCUAUUUUCUUAUCUUUUUUACACCGAAAAUGCCCCCCCCCAUUACUGUGCCUGAGAUUGGCCUUUUUAUAGUCGAAAAUGGAAAAGAAAAAUAAAUAAAUAAAAUCAAAUAAAAUCAAACAAAAUCUAUACUAUUGCUUUUUUUUGCUAUUCUGUUUUGUUUCUGUUCGUUACUGCAGGUGUGGCGUGGAGCGAACGGCGCAGGGAAGGCGCGCAAGAGGCGGCGACGAACGUGGCUGCUGUUGAGGGCGGUGGCUGGUAUUUUUCUUCUUAGGGUUUCUAUUUUUUUUGUUUUUUUGGGCUAGGUUUGGUUUGGGCUUAGGUUUAGUUUAUUGGGUUUGUUUAUUUGCUUGGGCCCGGGCAUUAUUGGGCUUGUACAAUAUGAAAAUAAAUAAGAUAAAGACAAUUGUAUGGUAACAAAAUUUGUACAUGUGUAAUAUAUGUAUUUGUACACUUGUAAUAUAAUUGUAUAUUUUCUUGAAUUUUAAGUAAAAAGAUAUUUAUUAUUUAUUAUAAGUACUAAGUUAAGAGAUAUUUAUUAAUUAAAUAAUUAAAUUAUAAGAUUUUUGUGUGAUAAAUAAAAUAAAUGGUGAUAAAUGCAUGGUAUAGAUGAUAUUGUACAUUUAUAAAUAAAAUAUAUAUAUGUACAUUUGUAACAUUAUUAUUUGUUGUUAAAUAUUAUGUGUCUUGUAGCUUCUUUUAUAUUUGGCCGAGUUAAUAUAGAUCAUAUGAGUUUGAACAUAAUAUUUUAAUUCUAAAUUUAAAUUCAUUAAUUUUUACAUUUACCUUUAAAGUUAAAAUUUUAAUAGAAAUUUUAAUUUAAGUAAAUUUUUUAUCCUUAAAAGUAUAUAGUUUAAAGUUUAAAUAUAAAAAAUAAAACAUUAUAUAAUAUUUAUCAUAGAAAUAAAUAUUAUUUAAUUAAUUUUUGUUAAAAUUUAUGUUUUUAGCGGCGUUUGUGAAAAAGCGUCGCUAAAAGUCAUUUUUAUAGCGGAGUUUGUAAUAUAAGCGCCACUAAAAGUUAUGACCUAUAGUGGUGUUUGUGGUAGAAGUGCCGCUAAAGGUCAUGGUAUUUAGCGGCAUUUGUGGGAAAAGCGCCGAUAAAGGUUAUGGUCUUUAGCCGGUGUUUGUCGGAAAAGCGCCGCUAAAGGUCAUGGUCUUUAGUGGCGCUUGUGGGAAAAGCGCCGCUAAAGGUCAUGGUCGUUAGCGGCAUUUGUAGGAUUGCACCGCUAAAGGUCAUGGUCUUUAGCGGCACUUUUUCCACAAACGCCGUUAAAGGUCAUGAUCUUUAGCGGCGUUUAUUUCUGAAAACGCCGCUAAAGUUAGCGACUCUGUCAUUAGCGGCGUUUUUUGUGGCGCUUCUAAAAGCGCCGCAAAUACUUUUAGCGCUGCUAAAGGUCAUGGUCUUUAGCUGUGCUUUUUCCACAAACGCCGCUAAAGGUCAUGAUCUUUAGCUGCGUUUAUUUCUGAAAACACCGUUAAAGUUAGCGACGUUGUCAUUAGUGGCGUUUUUUGCGGCGCUUUAGUGACGCUAAAAAGCGCUGCUAAAGGCCUAAAAAAGCGCCACUGAAAGCCUAUUUUGCUAUAGUGAAUAGAUUUUUAUUAAAUAAAUAAAAUAAUUGACAAAUAAAUGGUAUAAAAUUUAUACAAGUGUAAUAAAAUAAAUAUGUACAAAUGUAAUUAAACAAUUGGUUUCCUUAAUAUUUAAGUAUAAGAUAUAUUAUAUUAAUAUUAUAUUAAUUAUUUAGAAAUUAAAAACAAUAAAGCAAAUAAAAUAAAGUAAAAGAAAGAAACAGAGAAGAAAAAAGAACAGAAACUCUUUCGAAGACAGGGGAAAGAAAGACGAAAAAGAAAGAAAAAGGGAAAAUAGGGUUUUUAAAGCUUGGAGUUUAAUUUGGUAAGUCAAUUAAGCCAUUUUCUCUUAAUUUAGAUGUUUUUGAAGUUUUAAAACAAGGUUUUGAUGGAAUUAAGUUGAUAUUUUGUAAGUUCUUAGGUUUUCAAGUAUAGUUUAUGUUGAACAAAAGAGAUGAAUUAGGGAUUUAAUUGAAUGAAUUUCAAGUUAGAAUUGAUAAAAGGAUUAAAUUGUACAAGAAACUAUAAUUUUUAUGUUUUAGGGAUUAAAUUGAGAGAAAUUCAAAAUUAGGAAAAUAUGCUAAAAUUUUAAUAGUUACAUUUGAGUUUGGAUGAAAUUUGAAUAGAAAUAGAGGGUGAAUUGAAUUAGGAAAGUAAGUGAACUUAGUUAGGAUUAAAUUGAGAAUAAGGAAGAAAUUGAAUAGAAAUUUAAUUAUUUAUCAUAAUUAGUGCUGAAAUUAAUAGUGUAAAUUAUUAUUAUUUUCAUAGCUAGCAAAGAACCAGAAGCAUCGGCACGGGAGGGAAAAGAGAAGAUUAUCGAGGAGUAAACUCGAGAAAAUCACGGUUUGUAUUACUAUAAUUCAAGUUAUUUAUUAUUAAAUGUUAAAUUUUAAUUUAUGUGUUUGGUAAAAGAAAUAUGAGGUAAGUAUUAUUAUUAUUAUUAUUAUUAUUAUUAUUAUUAUUAUUAUUAAGAUGAGUGGGAAUUAAAUUGAAUAGUUGAUAUGAAUUAAUAUUUGAAUUGUUUGCUGCUUGAAAGCGGGAAGUGAAUUUGAAUCGAAUUGUGACUGAUAUUAAAUUGAAUGAAAAUGUAUUGAGUUGUGAAAAUGUGUGAAAUUUUGGAUUAAUUAUUGAUUGAAGGUGGAAAAAUGAUUGAAUUGAAAAUGUGAGAAAUUGUGAUUGAAUUGGGGUUAUAUCUGAUUUAAAUACCCUAUUAACUAGUCGGGCUAAGUCGGAUAUAGUUGGCAUGCCAUAAAAUUGGAAGAGUUUCAGGGAUACUUUGACCUCGAGUCGAUGGGACACUGGGUGUCACUAUAGUUCUUCGGAUAGAUUCGAUGAGGUACUCGGUACCAACUUUCUUCGGCUCUGUUGAUGAGACACUGGGUGUCAACUAUUGCUUCGAACUAUCCGAUGAGGCAUUGGGUGCCAUACUGGAGUGUUUGGUUGGAUCCGUGUAUCCGCCAAAGUCCGAGUUUUGUUAAUAGUGUAAAUUAUGAAAUAAUAAAUUGAAUGAGUUGAUCAAUCGAGCUAUUGAAAUGAAAUGAAAAGUUGAAUUGUGAAUUGAAAUGUUAUAUGAGAUUGAGAAAUGAAUCUAAGGUUCAUGAUAUGUUCAAAGCUCAAAUUGUGGAUAUAUGAUAUUAAUUGAUAAAUUAUUAUUGUUGUAUUAUGAAAUUUGAGUUUAAACUUGUAUGUAUGAUUUGUGCAUGAUAUGUUUGAUGAUUAUGUUUUAUUGUUAUUAUUAUAAUUUUAAUUAUGGCAAUACUACUGAGUAUGAAAUACUCAGCGUACAGUUGUUUUCGUGUGCAGGUCGAUAGAAAUCAAAGGUUCCGGUUCAGCAUCCAGAUCAAUCCUGACUCCAGCAAAAAGGUUUUGGUGAUGUUUUCUUCCUUAAGUGAAAG
Molecule: long non-coding RNA, 4200 nt
Filed under: Gossypium barbadense (sea-island cotton)
Lineage: Eukaryota; Viridiplantae; Streptophyta; Magnoliopsida; Malvales; Malvaceae
Description: long non-coding RNA (GBAR_LNC013321)
Source: RNAcentral